UAUGUCAUGACUUUUCCGAUGA
RNAcentral lists this microRNA (22 nucleotides) under Tupaia belangeri chinensis (Chinese tree shrew). RNAcentral describes it as "Tupaia chinensis (Chinese tree shrew) tch-miR-9771m". The record is from miRBase by way of RNAcentral. Lineage: Eukaryota; Metazoa; Chordata; Mammalia; Scandentia; Tupaiidae.